UCUAACAUGUGCGCGAGUCAUUGGGACUGCAAAGCCUAAAGGCGCAAUGAAAGUGAAGGUCGUACCUAGCGUCGACCGAGGGAGGAUGGCUCGCGUCACGAUGCGAGUCCGCACUCCCGGGGCGUCUCGUGCUCAUUGCGAGCAGAGGCGCACCCAGAGCGUACACGUUGGGACCCGAAAGAUGGUGAACUAUGCCUGGUCAGGACGAAGUCAGGGGAAACCCUGAUGGAGGUCCGUAGCGAUUCUGACGUGCAAAUCGAUCGUCGGAACUGGGUAUAGGGGCGAAAGACUAAUCGAACCAUCUAGUAGCUGGUUCCCUCCGAAGUUUCCCUCAGGAUAGCUGGCACUCGCUUGAGCGAGUCUCAUCUGGUAAAGCGAAUGAUUAGAGGCCUUGGGGCCGAAACGACCUCAACCUAUUCUCAAACUUUAAAUGGGUGAGAUCUCUGGCUUGCUUGAACGUUGAAGCCACGAGAUAUCAUGGAUCAGAGUGCCAAGUGGGCCAAUUUU
This 507-nucleotide ribosomal RNA is filed under the name Diglyphus isaea. Its description in RNAcentral is "partial 28S large subunit ribosomal RNA". It matches the Rfam family "Eukaryotic large subunit ribosomal RNA", at positions 674 to 1138 of the family's 3401-position model. Lineage: Eukaryota; Metazoa; Arthropoda; Insecta; Hymenoptera; Eulophidae. RNAcentral also lists the same sequence under 2 other names. The record is from RNAcentral.